RNAcentral lists this ribosomal RNA (622 nucleotides) under Akkermansia muciniphila. RNAcentral's name for it is "bacterial SSU rRNA". It matches the Rfam family "Bacterial small subunit ribosomal RNA", at positions 37 to 680 of the family's 1533-position model. Lineage: Bacteria; Pseudomonadati; Verrucomicrobiota; Verrucomicrobiia; Verrucomicrobiales; Akkermansiaceae. The record is from RNAcentral.
UGGCGGCGUGGAUAAGACAUGCAAGUCGAACGAGAGAAUUGCUAGCUUGCUAAUAAUUCUCUAGUGGCGCACGGGUGAGUAACACGUGAGUAACCUGCCCCCGAGAGCGGGAUAGCCCUGGGAAACUGGGAUUAAUACCGCAUAGUAUCGAAAGAUUAAAGCAGCAAUGCGCUUGGGGAUGGGCUCGCGGCCUAUUAGUUAGUUGGUGAGGUAACGGCUCACCAAGGCGAUGACGGGUAGCCGGUCUGAGAGGAUGUCCGGCCACACUGGAACUGAGACACGGUCCAGACACCUACGGGUGGCAGCAGUCGAGAAUCAUUCACAAUGGGGGAAACCCUGAUGGUGCGGCGCCGCGUGGGGGAAUGAAGGUCUUCGGAUUGUAAACCCCUGUCAUGUGGGAGCAAAUUAAAAAGAUAGUACCACAAGAGGAAGAGACGGCUAACUCUGUGCCAGCAGCCGCGGUAAUACAGGGGUCUCAAGCGUUGUUCGGAAUCGCUGGGCGUAAAGCGUGCGUAGGCUGUUUCGUAAGUCGUGUGUGAAAGGCGCGGGCUCAACCCGCGGACGGCACAUGAUACUGCGAGACUAGAGUAAUGGAGGGGGAACCGGAAUUCACGGUGUAGCA